This 240-nucleotide unclassified non-coding RNA is filed under the name soil metagenome. RNAcentral describes it as "partial contains 5.8S ribosomal RNA, internal transcribed spacer 2, and large subunit ribosomal RNA". The record is from RNAcentral.
AACGCACGAGACCUGCGGACCUGCGGAAGGAUCAUUACCGAGUGAGGGCCCUCUGGGUCCAACCUCCCACCCGUGUUUAUCGUACCUUGUUGCUUCGGCGGGCCCGCCGUCACGGCCGCCGGGGGGCACCCGCCCCCGGGCCCGCGCCCGCCGAAGACACCCCUGAACGCUGUCUGAAGAUUGCAGUCUGAGCGAUUAGCUAAAUCAGUUAAAACUUUCAACAACGGAUCUCUAGAUCGG